Molecule: unclassified non-coding RNA, 569 nt
Filed under: Stegodyphus dumicola
Lineage: Eukaryota; Metazoa; Arthropoda; Arachnida; Araneae; Eresidae
Description: uncharacterized LOC118205801, transcript variant X1
Source: RNAcentral
UUUCAGCGAGAACAAAAUAGACGAACUAAGGAAACCUGUUGUAUGGAGGAAAGUAAUAUUCAAGGACCUGAAAGACAGUCUAGAGACCGUCUAGACCAUAGAGAUAGUCUAGGAAAUUCCACUGUUAUGUAUAAUCCCAACAUUUAUGGUACAAGUUGCCUUUUGCAAAUAGCAACCAUAUGCCCCAGUUUACCUGGAGAACGAAAACAGAACAACUAAAGAAACCUGUUGUAUGGAGGAAAGUCAAUUUCAAGAACCUGAAAAACCAUCUAGAGACCGUCUAGACCGUAGAGAUCGUCUAGGAAAUUCCACUGCUGAAGUACUGGUCUUGCUCAGAAAUGGUCAUCAACUUCAGUAAAAUAUCGUCAAAACGGAUUAGUCAUUUCCAAAGGACGAGCUUGCGAAGGAAGUCAUCGCACAAAGGGGCAUAAUUCAUCUAGGCAAGAAAUAAAGAAGUGGUCAUAAUUUAAAAUCAAAAUUUUAUUUAGAAAUGUAAUUAUAUUGUGCUUUAUGUGAAGAGUGCUUAUUGUAGUCAAUGUUACACAUUAUAACCCAAAUUUUAAUUAUGA